UACGGAGGGUGCAAGCGUUAUCCGGAAUCACUGGGCGUAAAGGGCGCGUAGGCGGUCUGUUAAGUCCGAUGUUAAAGACCGGGGCUCAACCCCGGCAUGGCGUUGGAUACUGGCAGGCUAGACGACUGGAGAGGAAAGUAGAAUUACCAGUGUAGCGGUGAAAUGCGUAGAUACUGGUAGGAAUACCCAUUGCGAAGGCAGCUUUCUGGACAGUUUGUGACGCUGAGGCGCGAAAGUGUGGGGAGCAAACCGG
RNAcentral lists this ribosomal RNA (253 nucleotides) under uncultured bacterium. RNAcentral's name for it is "partial 16S ribosomal RNA". It matches the Rfam family "Bacterial small subunit ribosomal RNA", at positions 524 to 776 of the family's 1533-position model. The record is from RNAcentral.